This 604-nucleotide ribosomal RNA is filed under the name uncultured bacterium. Its description in RNAcentral is "bacterial SSU rRNA". It matches the Rfam family "Bacterial small subunit ribosomal RNA", at positions 338 to 951 of the family's 1533-position model. The record is from RNAcentral.
CCUACGGGAGGCAGCAGUGGGGAAUAUUGCACAAUGGGCGGAAGCCUGAUGCAGCGACGCCGCGUGAGGGAUGACGGCCUUCGGGUUGUAAACCUCUUUCAGUAGGGAAGAAGCGAAAGUGACGGUACCUGCAGAAGAAGCGCCGGCUAACUACGUGCCAGCAGCCGCGGUAAUACGUAGGGCGCAAGCGUUAUCCGGAAUUAUUGGGCGUAAAGAGCUCGUAGGCGGUUUGUCGCGUCUGCCGUGAAAGUCCGGGGCUCAACUCCGGAUCUGCGGUGGGUACGGGCAGACUAGAGUGAUGUAGGGGAGACUGGAAUUCCUGGUGUAGCGGUGAAAUGCGCAGAUAUCAGGAGGAACACCGAUGGCGAAGGCAGGUCUCUGGGCAUUAACUGACGCUGAGGAGCGAAAGCAUGGGGAGCGAACAGGAUUAGAUACCCUGGUAGUCCAUGCCGUAAACGUUGGGCACUAGGUGUGGGGGACAUUCCACGUUUUCCGCGCCGUAGCUAACGCAUUAAGUGCCCCGCCUGGGGAGUACGGCCGCAAGGCUAAAACGUCAAAUUGAAUUGACGGCUGNGNGNGCGACGGACGACGACGAGGGAGGAGG